This 301-nucleotide ribosomal RNA is filed under the name uncultured bacterium. RNAcentral describes it as "partial 16S ribosomal RNA". It matches the Rfam family "Bacterial small subunit ribosomal RNA", at positions 509 to 807 of the family's 1533-position model. The record is from RNAcentral.
CAGCAGCCGCGGUAAUACGGAGGGUGCAAGCGUUAAUCGGAAUUACUGGGCGUAAAGCGUGCGUAGGCGGUUCGUUAAGUCUGUUGUGAAAGCCCCGGGCUCAACCUGGGAAUGGCAAUGGAUACUGGCGAGCUAGAGUAUGGCAGAGGGGGGUAGAAUUCCACGUGUAGCAGUGAAAUGCGUAGAGAUGUGGAGGAAUACCGAUGGCGAAGGCAGCCCCCUGGGCCAAUACUGACGCUCAUGCACGAAAGCUAGGGGAGAAAACAGGAUUAGAUACCCCAGUAGUCCCUGUCUCUUAUAC